This 668-nucleotide long non-coding RNA is filed under the name Physcomitrium patens. RNAcentral's name for it is "long non-coding RNA (PPAT_LNC004136)". Lineage: Eukaryota; Viridiplantae; Streptophyta; Bryopsida; Funariales; Funariaceae. The record is from RNAcentral.
UGCAUGCAACUUUCUUCAUGUCUUACAAACCAAGCACUCAAAUACCACAAAAUUUAUUAUUAUAGCUUUUGAACACUAUAAUCUACCUUCUCCUAAAGGUUUUAGCCAAAAAGUCGUCCAAAAAUUCAAGAUAUGGCUCAAAUCAUUACUGCAAAUAAAAUCAUUUAUUUACUGCCUUUGAUUUGAAUGUACUGACUUCAACCUUUUAUAACUUCUUCAUCCAAAUUCCAAUUUCAUCAAAUUGAUAUGAAAAGUAUAGUCUUAAAAGUGCUUUCUUUAAUCCUAAUCACCGAUCUUUUGUUGCUAUCUAUAAACAUAUGUUAUGCUCCAAAAAAUGAUAAUAGAUAUGAAAUUGACACCUUAACUUUGAGCAUCAAUAACUUUUUCAUUAAAACUCCAAAUCACACAAAAUUUGCAUCCAAUCCAUACCCAAAAACUUGAACUUGAUGAGUCUAGCCUCUUAAGCUCAAAUGACUUCAAAAAAAAAUCUUAACCCCUAAUAAGGCCUUAGGCAGCCUCCUUGAAGUCCAUUGGACAUGGCCUUCUACUAAUAAGAAUGAAGAUCUCCAUUCCUUGCCUUCAUCCAACCAUGCCUUGCUUUCAUCCCUCCUAAUAAGCCUCCUAUUAGUUAAGAUUUUGUUCUUUAGGCUGUAAUCUCCUCUCAUGGC